CAGACCCUCCCUCCCAGACCCUCCCACCUCCUGGACAGCAUCCAUGUUGAAGGCAGCUUCAUGGAUGCUGUCCAGGAGGUGGGAGGGUCUGGGAGGGAGGGUCUG
This 105-nucleotide microRNA precursor is filed under the name Pelobates cultripes (western spadefoot toad). Lineage: Eukaryota; Metazoa; Chordata; Amphibia; Anura; Pelobatidae. The record is from RNAcentral.